UUGUUUGAAGCUGUUGGCCCUUGG
This 24-nucleotide non-coding RNA is filed under the name Rattus norvegicus (Norway rat). The record is from RNAcentral. Lineage: Eukaryota; Metazoa; Chordata; Mammalia; Rodentia; Muridae.